GACGAACGCUGGCGGCGUGCUUAACACAUGCAAGUCGAGCGGUAAGGCCCUUCGGGGUCCCCGAGCGGCGAACGGGUGAGUAACACGUGAGUAGUCUGCCCAUCACUUCGGGAUAACUCCGGGAAACCGGUGCUAAUACCGAAUAUGACCACUUCAGGCAUCUGAUGGUGGUGGAAAGUUCCGGCGGUGAUGGAUGAGCUCGCGGCCUAUCAGCUUGUUGGUGGGGUAGUGGCCUACCAAGGCUUCGACGGGUAGCCGGCCUGAGAGGGUGACCGGCCACACUGGGACUGAGACACGGCCCAGACUCCUACGGGAGGCAGCAGUGGGGAAUAUUGGACAAUGGGCGAAAGCCUGAUCCAGCAACGCCGCGUGAGGGAUGACGGCCUUCGGGUUGUAAACCUCUUUCAGCAGGGACGAAGCGCAAGUGACGGUACCUGCAGAAGAAGCACCGGCCAACUACGUG
Molecule: ribosomal RNA, 463 nt
Filed under: uncultured bacterium
Lineage: Bacteria
Description: partial 16S ribosomal RNA
Rfam family: Bacterial small subunit ribosomal RNA
Source: RNAcentral